CACGUAGGCGGACUGGAAAGUUGGAGGUGAAAUCCCAGGGCUCAACCUUGGAACUGCCUUCAAAGCUAUCAGUCUGGAGUUCGAGAGAGGUGAGUGGAAUUCCGAGUGUAGAGGUGAAAUUCGUAGAUAUUCGGAGGAACACCAGUGGCGAAGGCGGCUCACUGGCUCGAUACUGACGCUGAGGUGCGAAAGCGUGGGAGCAAACA
RNAcentral lists this ribosomal RNA (206 nucleotides) under uncultured bacterium. Its description in RNAcentral is "partial 16S ribosomal RNA". It matches the Rfam family "Bacterial small subunit ribosomal RNA", at positions 568 to 774 of the family's 1533-position model. The record is from RNAcentral.